UAUCCAUGGGUUCUUGCAUCACCCACAGAUCUUUCGCCUUUUACUAAAAAUUUCCGUGCAGAGGACUUAUUAGUCCUCUGCACGGAAAUUAAUUUAUUUUUGCCUUGUCUUUUGAAAGGGCG
Molecule: small nuclear RNA, 122 nt
Organism: Lytechinus variegatus (green sea urchin)
Lineage: Eukaryota; Metazoa; Echinodermata; Echinoidea; Temnopleuroida; Toxopneustidae
Product: U5 spliceosomal RNA
Exons: 1
Source: RefSeq, a predicted model, not a curated record